Molecule: ribosomal RNA, 255 nt
Filed under: uncultured bacterium
Lineage: Bacteria
Description: partial 16S ribosomal RNA
Rfam family: Bacterial small subunit ribosomal RNA
Source: RNAcentral
CGGACGGGUGAGUAACGCGUGAGGAACCUGCCUCAGAGAGGGGGAUAACACACCGAAAGGUGUGCUAAUACCGCAUAACAUAUGAGAGGGGCAUCCCUUUUAUAUCAAAGAUUUAUUGCUCUGAGAUGGCCUCGCGUCCAAUUAGCUAGUUGGUGAGGUAACGGCCCACCAAGGCGACGAUUGGUAGCCGGACUGAGAGGUUGAACGGCCACAUUGGGACUGAGACACGGCCCAGACUCCUACGGGAGGCAGCAG